AGAUCUCGCUCUGUCACCCGGGCUGGAGUGCAGAGCUGUGAUCAUGGCUCACUGAAGCCUUGACCUCUCAGGCUCAAGUGAUCCUCCUACCUCAGACUCUCAUGUAGCUGGGACUACAGGCAUGUGCCACCACACCCAGCUAAUUUUUAAAUUUUUUGUAGAGAUAGAGUCUCCUUAUGUUGUCCAGGCAGGUCUCAAACUCCUGGCAUCAAGUGAACCUCCUGCGCUGGCCUCCCAAAGUGCUGGGAUUACAGGCAUGAGCCACUGUGCCCAGCCUGAUGCUUUUUUUUGUCUGGUUUUUUUUUUUUAAAGAUCUCUCAGCAGAGUAAUUUUAUUUAAACUGAACUUGAAGAGAGAAGGAAGAGAAUGGAAAGCAGGAAGUUAAAGGAGCGAGUCCAGCGGAUUCGUGGAAAUGGAUGGAGGCUGCUGAGUUGAGAGACUGAGAAGUGGAGGUACCUAGGAAGGUCCUCCCUGAAAAUACAUCGGGUUGUAAAACCUGGAAAGAAAUACCUCCAUUUGUCAGGCACUCACAGGGCGCUCUCCUCUGGCAGCUCCCAUGUUGAGCGCCCAGGGCAGCGACCAGACGGCGUCCUGUCCUCCUGCACGGGGCCAGAACUGGAUGGUCCCGCGACACAUCGUGUCUGCAGCUUUAGAGGCCUCCCCAGGAGUGCUACCGCGGUCAUUUCUGCCCAGCUGUAAAAUAACACCCAAUCAGCGAGCCGCCAGCUGCAAACUGUUCCGACCUACUCCUCCCUCCCCGGCUUAAUUCCCACCUAUACCAAAGUGGCCCCACGCGGGCAGAAGCGAAAGACGGAAAUGAGGGGAGGCCAACUACUCGAGAUCUGCGCCCGAAGCAGAUUUUCCACGCGCUCAGAGUAGGGUCGGGGAAAGGCCCACUUGGGGCUUCUGAGAGAGAGGGAAGGGCAGGGAAAGGGCUGCCCCCCAGCAAGACACAGUUGGGUGAACAACUGAGUCUUUGCCUCGUUGACAAAGGAGAAUGAGGGACUCGCGCCAGGCUGGCUUGAACUGACUGGAGAAAAGCGACUUCUGUAAUUCAGGGCCCUCCUCGUGCGAAGGAAACUUUGGCAAAGCAGAAAGACAGGCAUGCAGUUUCCAGGCGGAAAAACGUGAACCAUGGGACAUGAUGGGCUCCAGGGCCGUGGAUGCAGUUGCCCGAGGCCCCAGGGCCGCCCCCGGAAGGCCGGGACUGCCAGGGACUCGGCGUGGGGGUGCUGACUGCCGCUCCAGGCCUCGGGGUUCAAGCACUCCAGCAGCAUCCGCUCACCACGCUCCCCGCCCACUUCCAUGAUCACGAGGGGGCAAGGCUAGCCAAUCCGGGGUGGCCACUGCCCGGCCCUGCGAGGACUCGAGGCGCACUGGGAAACUGCGCGGUGCCUAGAGGUACAAAGAACAGGUCCUGGGAGGGUAGUAGGAGGGGACCUUAGCACAGCCUAUGUCAGUUUGUCAACAAGGAUUUGCUGAGAAGUCGCACUGUGCUCAGCAUAGCGGCACUGCCUACCUAAUGGGCUUUGGGGCAUAGACAGUGAAUAACCUGGCAGUGAUAAUAGUGUGCUGAAAGAAAGGCCAGCCCCAACAGCCACUACAGGAACCUCAGAAAGGAGGGGGCGUCCCUGUUAGUGGCUGAUACUGGAUUUCUCUCAUUGUGUUCGUGGCUGGCGCCAAACCAGAGAUCAUAAUGUAUAACAAAUAAAUGUGAAGUUUCUUACAUCCAAGUGGCCAGGGAAAACCUAUACUAAUUACAUGGUACAAACCCGCUGUGAUCAGGUGCUAAAUUGGGUGGCAGUCAGAGUACAGCUGUAGAGAUAUCUCUGAGGGCCAGAGUGAUCAGGAAAAGCUUUGUGGAAGAGGAAGAACUGGAGUUAGGUGCUGAAUGACGGGCAGGAUAUGGACAAGCAGAGGAAAGUGGGAAGGCGUUCCAGGAGGGAAGGGGCAGCAUAGCCAAAGCCCGGGGGAUGAGCAUGGUGGGUUUAUGGGGUUUUAGAGGGAUUAGCCUGUUUGGAGUGUAGCAGGUGCUCUGAAGAGCAUGGGACAGAAGAGAGCACAGGCAGCUGGAGGGUAGAGAUGGGGGCUAAUUGCAGAAUCCCACAGUGCCUAGGAAGGUCUCAGCUGUCAGGGUCUUCUCCUGAGACUCAUUCUCAGCUCCUUUUGGGGUUUAGGAAAGAUCUUUCAUGAGAGUUCCAAACAUUUUAGUUAAUGUUUAAUUCCUUCUCACUGAAUCCCCAUGGAAGGGGGCAAAAAGCAAGUGCUACUCCUCCAAGGUACUAAAACCCUGGUGCUGAGGAUGAGGCUGCUCCAGAGGGACCUCUGAGAGAGAGAGAGAGAUGGUAUCUUAUGAGUUGCAUAAGUCUUUUAGGCAAGAAAGCAGGAGGAGAUACUGAAGGGACCCCCUAAGGAAGCAGAAAAGCUUUACCUUCUCCUCUGCAAGAGGCAUCAGGAUUCCCUUUGAAAACAGAGCAGAGGACGGCGCAGAAAAAUUCAAGAAUGUUUGCUCUCACCACUUCUAUUUAGCUUUAUACAGGAGAUCCUAGCCAGUGCAAAAGGGCAAGAAAAGACAUUAAAGACACGCAGACUGAAGCAGGAAGAAGUAAAACUGUCCUUAUUACAGGUGGCAUGAUUUUGUAUGUAGAAAAGCCUAAGAAAUCUACAAAAAUCUACUAGAACGAAUAAGCAAACUUAGUAAGGUUGCAGGAUACACUAUAACAAACUGUCCAAAAAUGAAGUUAAGAAAACAAUUCCACUCAUAAUAGCAUAAAAAGAAUAAAAUACUUAGGAAUAAUUUUAACAAAACAAAUGUAAGACCUAUGUACUGAAAACCUUAAAACAUUGCUGAGAAAAUUCUAAAAAGAUCUAAACAAAUGGAAAGACACACAAUGUUCAUGGAUCGGAAGAUUCAAUAUUGUUAAGAUAGUAAUUGUCCCCAAAUUAAACUAUAGUUUCAGCUCAACCCAUAUCAAAAUAGGUUGUUUUUUGUAGGACUUGACAAGCUGAUACUAAAAUUUAUAUGAAAAUGCAAAGGAUCUAGAGAAAUCAAAACAACUUUGAAAAAGAACAAAGUUGGAGGAUUUAAAAAAUAAAGCUACAGUGAUCAAAACAGUGUGGUAUUGACUUAAAGAUAGGCAUACAUCCAUAGAACAGAGUAUAUUCCAGAAAUAAACUCUUACAUUUAUGGUCUAUUGAUUUUUGACAAGGGUGUCAAGGUAAUUCAAUAGUCAUCCAUAAAUGAUGCUGGAGCAAUGGAUAUUCCUGUGCAAAAAAAAAAAAACUUACAUUCUUACCUCACAACAACCAUAUGCAAAAAUUAACUAAAAAUGAAUCACAGCCUAAAUGUAAGAGUUAAACUAUAAAAUUCCUAGAAGAAAUCAUAGGAGAAACAUGGAUUAGGGCAAAGGCUUCUUAGAUGUGAUACCAAAAACGUGAUCCUUAAAAAAAUUAAUAAACUCAACUUUAUCAAAAUUUAAAACUUUUGUUUUUCAGAAGAUACCAUUGAGAAAAUGGAAAGGCAAGCCACAGACUUGAAUAAAAUAUUUGCAAAUCAUAUACCUGAUAAGGUAUUUAUAUUCAGAAAUAUAAAGAAUUCAAUAAGACAAACUGAUUUUUUUAAUGAGCAAGAUUUGAAUAUAUAUUGCACCAAAGCAGACAUAUGAAUGGUGAAUAAGCAUAUAAAAAGAUGUUCAACAUCAUUACUCAUUAGAGAAAUUCAAAUUAAAACUAUAAUGAACUAUUAAUACCCACUGACAAUAUCAAGUGUCAGCAAGGAUGUGGCAAAAUUGAAACCAUAGAAUGGUACAGCUAAUUUAGAUAAUUGUUUGGAAGUUUCUCAAAAUGUUAAAUAUAUUUGCUAUAUGACCCAGCAAUUAAACUCCUAAAUAUCUACCCAAGAGAAAUGAAGACACAGAUUCACAUAAAGACUUAUAUGCAAAUGUUCAUAGCCAUGUUAUACGUACUAGCCCAAGCUGGAAAUAAUCCAAAUGUCCUUUAGCUGGUGUAUAAACAAAAUGUGGUAUAUUCAUACAAUGGACUACUACUUGGCAAUAAAAAGGAAUGAACUACAGAUACAUGCAACAAUAUGGAUGAAUUUCAAAAACAUGCUAAGUAGAAAAAGUCAGAUAAAAAAUGUUUUGUAUAAUUUCACUUAUGUGAAAUUUCUAGAAAAGGCAAAAUAUAGAAGUAUUCUAAAGUUGAAUUAUUAUUAUAAUUGUGAUUAUUGUACAAGAGUAUAAAUUUACUUAAAAUCAAACAGUACCCUUAUAAUAGGUAAAUUUUAUGGUAUAUAAAUUAUACUUCAAUAAAGCUGUUAAAGGACAGAGAGACUGCUAGAUAGGUCCUUGGGGAGAGGGUGGGGUGUGUGUGUGUGUUUGUGUGUAUGUGUGUGUGUGCGGUUAUAGGAGGGCAGAAAACACCUAUGGGAGAUAGUAAUGAAUUUAAGUGCAAUGAAAAAACACAGGGGCUCUGGAGCCAGCAUGCUAGGUUUGAAUCUUGGUUCUACUACUUACUAUAUGAACUUGAGACAAAUUACUUACCCUCUUCAAGCCUCAGUUUUUCCCUCUGAAAUGAGGCUAAUGGUAAAUCUCAAGGUAGUUGUACCACUAAAAAUGAUAUAUAUAUUGGCUGGGUGCAGUGGCUCAUGCCUGUAAUCCCAGCACUUUGGGAGACCUAGGUAGGAGGAUUGCUUGAGGCCAGGAAUUGAAGACCAGCCUGGGCCACAUAGCAAGACCCUGACUCUAGAAAAAAUAAGAAAUUAGCCAGGCAUGGUGGCAUCUAUAGUUCUAGCUAUUUAGGAUGCUGAGGUGGGAGGAUCAGUUGACAGGAGUUUGAGGCUGCAGUGAACUAUGAUUGCGCCACUGCACUCCAGCCUGGGUGACAGAGCAAGACCUUGUCUCUAAGAAAAAAAGAAAAAAAAAGAAUUAAAAAUAUAAAAAUAAUGUAUAUUGAAGGUAAUGUAUGGGAUGUGAGGGAAAAUUCUGAAACCAAUUACUUCUACAGAAAAUUCAGAGCUUUGUUGUAACUG
Molecule: long non-coding RNA, 5029 nt
Filed under: Homo sapiens (human)
Lineage: Eukaryota; Metazoa; Chordata; Mammalia; Primates; Hominidae
Description: HSALNT0010557
Source: RNAcentral